AACACAUAAAAGUUCAGUAAAAUAGUUUUAAAGCAAUCUAAGCUUUCUGAACUUUUUACAACUAAACAUCUUCACCAUAAAUCAUCUAUUCUUCAUACCUGAAGUGCCGAGCUUUCCGAAUGAGUCUUUGUUCUCCAAUUUGAAUCUUUUCUUCAAACAUCCGUGAUCAAUUCUUCAAGACUCCAUUCAACUUUACGAAAUCCGCCAACCUAUAAAAUCCUUAACAUAAUGAAGGUAAAAUAUUAUAAGAUCCCAAAAUACAUCGAAAUACCAAAAUUUUGUUAUCAAAAAUAAUCUCAAGUUUCAAAAUCAUCAAGAUGUAACGGCUCACGAAAAAAUGAUUUUUAGAAAUUCGGCAAAAUUGACACCAAUUUGUCGCAAUCCGUUCAAAAUAGAGAUUUAACUAAUAUAGCUCCGAGGGUGGCUCUUUGAGCAUCUUUUCAACUUACCACCUUAUAACACCGAAGAUUCUAAAAUAUUCAAUUUUUUUCAACCUUUUUCGGUUAAUCAAUUCAAUCUCAUGUGAUAGCUUCACACACUUGCCGGACGACCGGGGUGGUAGCUCUUUCCUACAUGUGGUCGCAGUUUUCACACUCCUUUUGGAUGUAACUCUUUCCACAUCUUUUUAAACAUAGGAGUUUUUUCCUUUUUUUUUUAACAAUUUCAAACUCCCCCUAAAUUAGACAAUCUCACAAUUAAAAAUAUUUUGACAAAUUUUAGUCUAUUAGCGAAUAUCCAUCUAUCAUAUUCAACACACACAACCGAGAUAGAUUAAUCACCAAGAGAUCAAAUUUGAUUUCAAUAUUUUGAUAAAUAUAUGUAUUAAGAAAUCAUAUAUUAAAUUAUCGUCAAAAUAAUAAAAAGUGGAGUAAAAACGAUAAUUAAUAUGAAUUUAACUUAACAUGAUUGUGAAGUUAAACACCGUUUAAACAACUUUGAAAAAUUUCUCUCCUAAAAAAAAAAUGAUUCUCAAUCAUCUCCUCUCUCAAAGAAAAAAUUUUUAAAAUUCCCAAACACCUUUCCUCAAAUCAAUUUUAAAAACAACUUUCACACACGAAAAUCAUCAUGUAAUGCAAUGAACAAAAAUAUGCAACAAGCACCAAACAAAGCAUUACAUAAACAAUCAAAACAAACUAAGAUGAAGAACAAGGAAAUAUAUCACCUUUCCAAAUCCAAACUUGUCGGAUUUUGUGUUCUCUCGGCUUGUUGACAUUCGGCAUGGCUUGUUUUGACUUUAGAUCAACCGUUGAUCGCUUCGUUGAUGGUGGCUUUGGUCGGGCUUAACGUUGUGCAUUUAAGCUCCGAUUCCCUCGAGGUACUCGACGUAAUUGUUUUUCCUUUGAAAUCGGUGGGGGAAGUCGAGUAGUAGAGGGUGCCACUUGACGAUUAGAAGUUGCCGAUUGAUUCUUCUUUUCUUUGUUUGGGCAAUUUCUUUUGAUGUGUCCUUUGAUGCCACAUCGAUGACACACUUUGNACAGACAAACUGAAAGAACCAUUCAGACUCUGGAGGAUAUGUUGCGAGCGUGUGUCAUCGAUUACAAAGGAGGUUGGUGUAAGUAUUUGCCAAUGGCUGAGUUCGCCUACAACAACAGUUAUCACGCUAGCGUGGAGAUGGCACCGUUCGAAGCUCUUUAUGGGCGGAAGUGCCGCUCCCCCAUUUAUUGGAGUGACGUGGGCGAACGCACGGAAUUUGGCCCCGAGGUACUGCGGGAGGCGGAAGAAAUGGUCCGCCUUGCUCGCAAACGAUUACUCACGGCGCAGUCUCGGCAAUAGAGCUAUGCGGAUAAGCGCCGACGAGAUUUGGAGUUCGCCGCGGGAGACCGCGUCUUCUUGAAGGUUUCGCCUAUAAGGGGUGUAAGGCGAUUUGGAGUUCAGGGAAAAUUGAGCCCCCGAUAUAUUGGCCCCUAUGAGAUCUUGGAGCGAAUUGGGACGGUGGCUUAUCGGCUCGCGUUGCCGCCAAAACUUGCAGACGUAUUCCACGUCUCCAAUCUACGCAAAUACAUUCCUGACCCCGAACACGCAAUGUUAUACGAGCCGCCGGAGCUUCAGGAGGACCUGAGCUAUGAGGAAUUUCCGGUGGCAAUUACUGCUCGUGAAGUGCGCAAGUUAAGGAAUCGAGAAAUUCCUUAUGUCCGAGUCCAGUAGAGCAAUCAUGAUGAUCGCGAAGCCACCUGGGAGCUCGAGGAGGAGAUGAAGGCGAAUCAUCUUCGCCUGUUCGAUAGUUAAAUCGAGGUAUGAGUUUAGAAUUUGGAAAUUUCAAAUAAGUCUUGUAGUAUCGAGUUCAUUUCAAGGACGAAACUCUUUUAAGGUGGGAAGGAUGUAAGGAAGUGAAUUCUCGAAUCUCGAGAAUUAGACUUUGACUAGAAUCGACUAGUUGUCGAGUGCGUAGGCUUCGGAGAGUCCGAAGGUGAUUAUAAUGCAUAAAGCGCAUUAAAGGAGGGUCCGCGGGAGCAGCAGUGCAAAAUCUGCACUGAAGCAGAAUUGCUCUCGGGGACCGGUCCCUGGCAGGGAGGGACCGGUUCCAUCAGGCUGGGCUGCGGGGGUCUCUGAUGAGACCGGUCCCUGGUGGUGAGGGACCGGUUCCCGAACGUUUGCCCAGCGAAAAUAGCCGAAAUUUGGCUAAGUCCCGAAAACUCAGCUUUCGGAAACCGGUCUCUCGGAUAAGAACCGGUCUCCCGGGGACCGGUCUCUCAGGCAAGGAUUGGUUCCCGAACGCGAAAACCCCUCUGCUCGACGUGGCAGCCUUCGGGGACCGGUCUCCCCGAGCUGGGACCGGUCCCUCGCUGCGAAAAUGGCCCAGGGAAGGCUAUUUCAGGAAAUAAAAAGUUGAGGGGGCUAUCUGCAAAAUGGCCUAUAUGAGGGCUUGGGGACCCCUCUCUCUCCCUCAGUUGCUCUUCCCCUCUCUCUUUCACACUCUUUCCCUCUCUCUCUAGAAAAGAAAGAAAAGAAGGAGAAGAAGAAGGAGAAGAAAGAAAAGAAGAAAAAGAGGAAGAAGUAGAAGGAGAAGAAGAAGAAGAAGAAGAAGAUCAUCUUCUUCCCUCUCUCCUCCAACCUAGGGCAAGCUUGGAGCUUGGCUUAGAGGUAAGCUCCAAACCCACUCAUGGUAGAUUUCUUAGGGCUGGGUUUUGUUGCUUAGAAUUGGUUCAAAUGGAACCUAUUGGGGAUAAAUAGAUGGUUCGAGCUCGAAAUCGAAGCUCGCACCAUGGAUUUCCCCCNGUGCCACUUGACGAUUAGAAGUUGCCGAUUGAUUCUUCUUUUCUUUGUUUGGGCAAUUUCUUUUGAUGUGUCCUUUGAUGCCACAUCGAUGACACACUUUGCCUUUUAAAGUUGUUGAGACUUUAGAUGUCGCCGUUUGAUCCUUCUCAACAUAUGUCCGUUCAUAUCCAAGGCCCAAUUUGCUCGUUUGACCCAAUUCAAGCAUUUUGUCCAAUUUCUUUUCUUAGAUCCCGAUGAAAACUUUUGAAUGUCGGUUUGGAGUUGUCGAACUUGGUUGGUCAAUGAUUUGUUGGAUGUGUGCGAUUCCUUGAAUUGUUGCUCCAAAAAUUCAACCUUGUCUUUAUAUGAUUUGAUCGUUGAUUCCGCUUCAUUAAGCUUCUCUAGAAGGUCCGAAUUAUUUUUCAAAAUUGAUUCCCUUUCCUCCUCGAGACUUUUGUUCGUGAUCUUCAAGUUGUUGUUUUCCUCUUCGAGAUUCAACAAACGACGCCUCAACUUCUUAUUAAGUUUAGCCAUCUUUUUUUAUUCAAUAAGAAGUUGAUUGUAUGCUUCCGCUAUAUCGUCAUCGUUUGACUCCUCGCUUUCGCCAUUGUCGCUCGAAGAAUCAUGCGUAGAAAGAGAAAUAUUGGAAUUAGUAACAACAGAGGAUAAACAAACAACGUUAGACGAAGGCAAGGUAGAUUUAGCAAAUAAAGCAAGAUUUCCAUUCUUUUCUUCGUCACUUGAGCUUGAUUCACUUGAAGUUGUAUCAUCCCACGUCUUUGCUUGCAAUGCCUUCUUAGUAUACUAUUUCUUUGAAGGACAAUCCGUUGCGAUGUGACCGUAUCCUUUGCACUUGUAGCAUCGGAUCUCGCCUUCAAAUACUUCCUUUUCUUUUGAAGCCUUUGCACGCUUCUUCUCGUUAGAAGAUGAAGACUUAGAAAACGUUUGUUGCUUCGAAGAUGAAGGUUUAUUCGAUUUGCUCUUUCGAAAAUUUCGGCAAAACUUUUUUGUGAGAAGCGCAAGUUGAUGUUCAAAGUCGGCAAGAGAAACAUCUCCGUCGGAAUUCGAGUCGUUUUCUUCUUUCUUUGUUGAUUUGAGAGCAACCCUUGUGCUUUUAGAAAAAGACUUGGAAGAAGAUUGGUUAGUAGGAAAAGUCAUCUCAUAAGUUUGCAAAGCACCUACUAACUCUUCGACUUUCAUCUCGUCCGGAUGCUUAACGGUUUCGAUCGCGGCAACCUUUGCCCGAAAGCGUUCCGGAAGAGUUCGAAGAAUCUUUCUAACAACUUUAGCAUCCGGGAUUUUCUCUCCCAAGUUAGCGCAUGUAUUGACUACGUCUUGUAGACGCGUGUAGUACUCCGUAAAGGUCUCGUUUUCGUCCAUAAAAAUAGAAUCAAAUUUGCUAGUUAGCAUUUGCAACUUUUGAACCUUUACUAAGCUUGUCCCUUCAUGCGUAACUUGUAGAGUAUCCCAUAUCUCCUUGGCGGUUUCACACGCCGAAACGCGAGUAAACUCCGUUUGUGACAAUGCAUUAAAUAAAGCGUUUAUGCCCUUGCCAUUAAACGAAGAUGACUCGUUUUCAUCUUUGGUCCACUUGUUUCGUGGUUUAGGCGUUUCAACAUUAUCGACUUUUUCAAUGGAAUGUUUCCAUCCAAAUUCUAUGGAUUGCCAUACCCGCUCAUCGAUUGCAAUUAGAAAAGCUCUCAUGCGAACUUUCCAAUAGGCAUAAUUAGUGCCGUUGAAGAGCGGAGGUCGAUUAAUGUUACCGCCUUCGGCCAUUAGAUAGCAAUAUAUCUAGAUCCCGCUCUGAUACCAAAUGAAAGUUUUUAGGAGCCUAAGGAUCUAUCUAGAUUGUAUCUAUCACCUAGAGGGGGGUGAAUAGGUGAAAUAGCCAAAAACCACAAAUCUCAAUGCGAUAAAAAUAAAUGCGGAAAAUAAAAAUCACACCGAGAUUUAAGUGGGAAAACUCCAAUUUGGAGAAAAACCCACGGGACCAACACGCGAAAAAAUAAUUUGUGAGAUAUGAAUCCCGAGGAUCUAAAAGGUAAAUAACACCUAGAGGGGGGUGAAUAGGUGUAAAAACGGCAAACUCGAAAAUCUCGAUGCAAAUAAAACAAAAUAGCGGAAAAUAAAACAGCACACCGAGAAUUUAACGUGGGAAAACUCCAAUUCGGAGUGAAAAACCCACGGGACCGAUCACGCGAAGAAAAUCCACUAAGAAAACUUGAGUACAAGUGAUUUUGACAAAAAUACACGACUCAAUUUACCGAUUUCUUGUUGAUGGUAAUCUUCGCCGGCCCUCGAUCGAUGGGAAUCCACCAAUCGAUCUUGCUGCAACUCCUCACAGCAUCAACGCCUCAACUCCUUGAAGCGUCCACCGAAUCCUCGGCUCACGCAAGAUCCACGCGCCGAACCUCCUUCCGGAGCUCGUAGAAUCGAAGAUUUGUGAUGAUUUAACCUUUGAAUACCAUAAGCUAUGAGGGUUCACCGUUAAUCAAAAAUCUACUUGAUUCUCGUAUGAGUUCUCGAGUAAAAACGAAGAAUCAAGCCGAUUGUUGAUUGUUAGAAACUCGUUAUGUGAAUCGAAGCAUUGAAACGGAAAAAACAAGUUUCUAGGGUUUAGAAUCUGUAAAUAUUCAAAGCCUUAAACUUUUAGAUGACCCACAUAGCUUAUUUAUAUGUUUAGAAGACUUAGAAGUAGACUAGGAUUGCAAAAAGUCCUUUUUAAAAACCUGUGUCGUCCUCAGAGACCGGUCUUCUCGAGGAGACCGGUCUGUGAGAGACCGGUCUCUCAAGUGAGGAACCGGUCCCUCGCUGCGUGACCAAAAUCACAACGUUCGGGAACCGGUCUCUCAAGCUUGAGACCGGUCCCUCGUUGCGCGACAGAACUACCAAGGUUCGGGAACCGGUCUCUCAUCUCAGGGGACCGGUUGCAUCAGAACUCACGCAGUGAGGACCUUAAGGGAACCGGUCUCUCCAUUUUAGGGACCGGUUCCAGAACACAUGAAAGUUCAGAAAAAUUAUUUUAAAGCAAUUUAAGCCUUCUGAACUUAUUCUAAUUAGGUAUCUUCACCACAAAUGAUCUUUUCUUCAUACCUUAGGUGUUGAGCUUUCCGAAAGAGUCUUUGUUCUUCAAUUUGAAUCUUUUCUUCAAAACUUCUGCGAUCAACUCUUCAAGACUCCAUUCAACAUUACGAAAUUCGCCAACCUAUAAAAUCCUUAACAUAAUUCACUAAGAGAAAAGAUUACAAGGUGAUUACCGACUCCACGGACUCAACCUCUCUUAACCUCCUAUGAAUCUCGCGCAAUCCUCCGCGUUGUCCACGCCCUCACGUUCGAAUCCACGAACGCCACGUCUCGAAUCCACGAAACGCCUCGCACACGUUCGAAUCCACGAACGCCACUCGAAUCCACGAGCCUUUGAUCCGAAUCCUCGAACCGUCGUUAAUCACGCCGAAUCCACGACGCCGUUUAUGAAGAGCAUCAUGAUUAUGGUGAUCCUUCGCUUAGAGUAUCGUAGAAAACCAAGGAAGAAGACUCCAAGCGAAGACUAGAUCAAAUCAACAUAUAGCGAAUGCGAAACGAUACCUCGAUUUGAUCUAAAGAGGCUAAUUUGUAGAAAAUAGAUUUAGAAUGAAAUACUAGCCUCUAGGGUUCUUUAAUUGUGUAUUCUUAUGA
Molecule: long non-coding RNA, 6870 nt
Filed under: Ananas comosus (pineapple)
Lineage: Eukaryota; Viridiplantae; Streptophyta; Magnoliopsida; Poales; Bromeliaceae
Description: long non-coding RNA (ACOM_LNC035452)
Source: RNAcentral